This 329-nucleotide unclassified non-coding RNA is filed under the name soil metagenome. RNAcentral describes it as "partial contains 5.8S ribosomal RNA, internal transcribed spacer 2, and large subunit ribosomal RNA". The stretch from base 1 to 120 matches the Rfam family "5.8S ribosomal RNA", at positions 35 to 154 of the family's 154-position model. The record is from RNAcentral.
GAUGAAGAACGUAGUGAAAUGCGAUAAGUAAUGUGAAUUGCAGAAUUCAGUGAAUCAUCGAAUCUUUGAACGCACAUUGCGCCCCUUGGUAUUCCGAGGGGCAUGCCUGUUCGAGCGUCAUUAUAACCCCUCAAGCUCAGCUUGGUGUUGGGGCCUGCUGCACUGGCAGCCCUUAAAAUCAGUGGCGGCGCCAUCUGGCUCUAAGCGUAGUAGUUCUUCUCGCUAUGGAGUCCUGGUGGAUGCUUGCCAUCAACCCCCAAUUUUUCUAUGGUUGACCUCGGAUCAGGUAGGGAUACCCGCUGAACUUAAGCAUAUCAAUAAGCGGAGGA